GGAGUAUGGACCGUGUCUCAGUUCCAUUGUGGGGGUCACUCCUCUCAGAGCCCCUACCCGUCGUCGGCACGGCGGGCCGCUGCCCCGCCGUCUACCUGAUGGGACGCGAGCCAAUCCGUGACCGGUUCUCACCUUUCAAUCACAUACCAUGCGAUAUAUGAUCUUAUGGGGUAUUAGGAGACGUUUCCAUCUGUUAUCCCCCUGUCACGGGCAUGUCGCUCACGCGUUACGCACCCUUCCGCCGGUCGCCGCCAGGUAUUGCUACCCGCGAUGCCCCUCGACUUGCAUGUGUUAAGCCUGCCGCUAGCGUUCAUC
Molecule: ribosomal RNA, 315 nt
Filed under: uncultured Bacteroidales bacterium
Lineage: Bacteria; Pseudomonadati; Bacteroidota; Bacteroidia; Bacteroidales
Description: partial 16S ribosomal RNA
Source: RNAcentral